RNAcentral lists this ribosomal RNA (786 nucleotides) under uncultured bacterium. Its description in RNAcentral is "bacterial SSU rRNA". It matches the Rfam family "Bacterial small subunit ribosomal RNA", at positions 60 to 806 of the family's 1533-position model. The record is from RNAcentral.
AGUCGAGCGAGUCUGCCUUGAAGAUCGGAGUGCUUGCACUCUGUGAAACAAGAUACAGGCUAGCGGCGGACGGGUGAGUAACACGUGGGUAACCUGCCCAAGAGAUCGGGAUAACACCUGGAAACAGAUGCUAAUACCGGAUAACAACAGAUGAUGCCUAUCAACUGUUUAAAAGAUGGUUCUGCUAUCACUCUUGGAUGGACCUGCGGUGCAUUAGCUAGUUGGUAGGGUAACGGCCUACCAAGGCGAUGAUGCAUAGCCGAGUUGAGAGACUGAUCGGCCACAUUGGGACUGAGACACGGCCCAAACUCCUACGGGAGGCAGCAGUAGGGAAUCUUCCACAAUGGACGCAAGUCUGAUGGAGCAACGCCGCGUGAGUGAAGAAGGGUUUCGGCUCGUAAAGCUCUGUUGUUGGUGAAGAAGGACAGGGGUAGUAACUGACCUUUGUUUGACGGUAAUCAAUUAGAAAGUCACGGCUAACUACGUGCCAGCAGCCGCGGUAAUACGUAGGUGGCAAGCGUUGUCCGGAUUUAUUGGGCGUAAAGCGAGUGCAGGCGGCUCGAUAAGUCUGAUGUGAAAGCCUUCGGCUCAACCGGAGAAUUGCAUCAGAAACUGUCGAGCUUGAGUACAGAAGAGGAGAGUGGAACUCCAUGUGUAGCGGUGAAAUGCGUAGAUAUAUGGAAGAACACCGGUGGCGAAGGCGGCUCUCUGGUCUGNNNCUGACGCUGAGGCUCGAAAGCAUGGGUAGCGAACAGGAUUAGAUACCCUGGUAGUCCAUGCCGUAAA